UACGAGCGGCCCAAACGUUAUUCGGAAUUACUGGGCGUAAAGCGUGCGCAGACGGUUGCGUAAGUCAGAUGUGAAAGCCCCGGGCUCAACCUGGGAAUUGCAUUUGAGACUGCGUAGCUAGGGUGCGGAAGAGGGAAGCGGAAUUUCCGGUGUAGCGGUGAAAUGCGUAGAUAUCGGAAGGAACACCAGUGGCGAAAGCGGCUUCCUGGUCCAGCACCGACGUUCAGGCACGAAAGCGUGGGGAGCAAACAGG
This 253-nucleotide ribosomal RNA is filed under the name uncultured bacterium. Its description in RNAcentral is "partial 16S ribosomal RNA". It matches the Rfam family "Bacterial small subunit ribosomal RNA", at positions 524 to 776 of the family's 1533-position model. The record is from RNAcentral.